GCCACUACAAGAUUUCUUCUUCUUGAUCUGCAUUACUGUUAUCCAAAAGUAUUGAUCGAAUUACUUGUUUGUGAUACUGUAACAGAUGUUGUGUAAGGAGAUUAAGCAGCUCUGAUCACUCAUCAAUGGGAGACUGACAACACCAUCAGAAGUUUUCUUCAGAUCUAAAUCCUGUGGUCCUAUGAAAGGCAACAGCGACAGAGAAAGAGAUGCUGACAAAUGAGGAAGCAGAGAACAAACAUCAUGAAUCAAGUGUUCACGUCAUGUGCCGGCAAAGGAUGAGUGCUCUGAGUGGGGGUGGGACCAGACCCUAUAGGUCAGCCAGCCUCUGAGGGACAAGACUGAUUGAUGACAUUGGCCUAAUCCUCCAUGUGGGGGUGGGGUUCCCUGCUCUGAGAUCUUGGCUUGGACCCCACCCAACUAAAAGAUUUUACUUCUGUUUAGAGUGUAAAUUGAAUCUAAUCUAGGUGAAUUCCAGCCCCAAAGCAUCAAGUCUAUGCCCUUGCACCCCUUCAUUGGAGUUUAGGGUAACCUAGCUCAUGAAGGAGAAAACCAAUCAGAGUGGUCUGGGUAGAUAAGGAUUCCUUGGUCCAAAUUGCUGGAGGCAGCUGAGGCUCAUGAUUAAGCCAGGAUCUCAGCAGGAGGAGCUGAAACUUUUAGCUUGCCUCCUUAUUAAUAUGCCUCCCCCUCAUUAAUUGUUCACCAAUCAGGGUUGAUUUUCACCUGUCAGGAGCAACCCCUUUUCUAAAAAUAUAUUAAGGUAUUCAGUGUCUCCAUUAGGGGUCUUUGGUUAUGGAGAGAGACCACUGACCAUCAAUUUACUGAUUAUCAGCU
Non-coding RNA from Phascolarctos cinereus (koala), 834 nucleotides. NCBI's taxonomy places the organism in Eukaryota, Metazoa, Chordata, Mammalia, Diprotodontia, Phascolarctidae. The record is from RefSeq and is a predicted model, not a curated record.